Molecule: ribosomal RNA, 681 nt
Filed under: Golubevia pallescens
Lineage: Eukaryota; Fungi; Basidiomycota; Exobasidiomycetes; Golubeviales; Golubeviaceae
Description: eukaryotic LSU rRNA
Rfam family: 5.8S ribosomal RNA (bases 225-378)
Source: RNAcentral
UAAAAGUCAUAACAAGGUUACUGUAGGUGAACCUGCAGUAGGAUCAUUAUUGAAAAAUAGGGCUUUCCCAUUCUUUGGGGCCCGAACCUUCACAUAAUUUCCACACACUUGUGAAUCGUUGGAGCGUUUUUUGAAAAAGAGACGCUCUGGCACCCUUUAAUUAUUACAAACACCGAGUUAAUGGAUGUAGUUGUAAACUUGUCUUUUGACAGAAACAAAAAUACAACUUUCGACAACGGAUCUCUUGGUUCUCCCAUCGAUGAAGAACGCAGCGAAACGCGAUAGUUAAUGUGAAUUGCAGAAUUCAGUGAAUCAUCGAGUCUUUGAACGCAUCUUGCGCUCCUUGGUAUUCCGAGGAGCAUGCCUGUUUGAGUGUCAUGAAUCCCUCAGCCCCCAUCGUUUUUUGUUAAGCGAUUGGCUUGGGUCUGGAUUUGGGCGUCUUGCCAAUGCGCUUCUUCAAGUGCUUGGCUCGCCUUAAAGAGAUUAGCUGGACCCUAUUCCGAGCUGGUUCAACUCGACGUGAUAAUUUCAUUCGUCGAGGUAUGGUCGGCCUUACGGCUGAUCAGCCAGGUGUAGGAAUCCGGUCUGCUUCCAACCUUCGUCUGAAGCCAGCAAUGGUGUGAAGCGGAAUUUUUUAAUGCUCUGGCCUCAAAUCAGGUAGGAUUACCCGCUGAACUUAAG